RNAcentral lists this ribosomal RNA (468 nucleotides) under uncultured bacterium. RNAcentral describes it as "partial 16S ribosomal RNA". It matches the Rfam family "Bacterial small subunit ribosomal RNA", at positions 28 to 507 of the family's 1533-position model. The record is from RNAcentral.
GACGAACGCUGGCGACGUGCUUAACACAUGCAAGUCGAACGGAAAGGCCCUGCUUUUGUGGGGUGCUCGAGUGGCGAACGGGUGAGUAACACGUGAGUAACCUGCCCUUGACUUUGGGAUAACUUCAGGAAACUGGGGCUAAUACCGGAUAGGAGCUCCUGCUGCAUGGUGGGGGUUGGAAAGUUUCGGCGGUUGGGGAUGGACUCGCGGCUUAUCAGCUUGUUGGUGGGGUAGUGGCUUACCAAGGCUUUGACGGGUAGCCGGCCUGAGAGGGUGACCGGCCACAUUGGGACUGAGAUACGGCCCAGACUCGUACGGGAGGCAGCAGUGGGGAAUGUUGCACAAUGAACGGAAGCCUGAAGCAGCCACGACGCGAGCGGGAUGACGGCCUUCGGGUUGUAAACCGCUUUCGCCUGUGACGAAGGAUGAGUGACGGUAAUGGGUAAAGAAGCACCGGCUAACUACGUG